GCUGUGGGUUGUACAUAAACACUAAUUGAUUCAUUGUGAACAUCAAACUAGUCAAACUACACUACAGGAUCUCUGAAUGUGCCACCAACAGGAAUCUGAGCUACAUGUUGACAGCAGCUGUAAAACCUGGACUACAGGUCAUCACAUUCAGGGCCUCCUCUCCACGUUGUAGCUUUCAGCUGCUUCUCCUUCCGCUCAUAGGGUGAUGGUGGUGUUCCUCGUACCGGUGUCACGUUCUGGCAGGUGUUUCCAGUAACUCAUAGUGGAGCAGCAUCACAGCUGAACACAGUGAGUCACUGCUCUCCACUUCGUGUGAUGUGACGACUGAUGUGGGUUUAGGCCCAUCCUAAACAAACCCCGAGCAGAGAAGACGCGUCGGACGCACGGGAGCUGCUCCACAUCUGCCAGACGUGGUGUCUGUCACAUUAUGCAAAUACGAAAAUCUGAAUCUCUGGUUUCUAUGGCAACAUGACAGAAACCGUCUCCUUGUGCUAAUAAGACGUCUUGUGCACAUCUGCCAUUGUUUAUGAGCUUCCUCCAACCUCCACCUACCUCCAUGCUGAUGCUGAACCUCACUAAGUGACGGUCCAGGAUAUUUUAAUUUGUAGCGUUUGCUUCAUGCAGAUCUUCAGCUCGGAGUCACAUGUUGGACAAUAGCGUGGAUGUUGCUCCUUCACCCACUGGACAUAAACGCAGCAUAAAAAGCGUGCCCUCGCUUUGGACGUGGUUUCAAUACAACAAGCCAACAAGCCAAGCAAAUGAGGGGACGCCCACAGGUUUAUGAUCAUGCAGACGAGUGAUAAGAGCCACAGACCUGCUGCAUUUUAUCAAGCUGCGAGGCUCAACUGUGGGAAUAAAAGAUGGUCAGAGCUGCAGCUGAGGUGGUCGAAGAACGACCUCUGCAUCAAAAACACCAAAAAGAAGAAAGAAUUUGUCCUGUUACUUAAAGCACUCAUAUGUUUUUUACAGAACACGUAAGGUCAAUGGGUUCAUGACCAUGGAAAUUAACUGGCUCCGCCCCCUGAGUGAUGUAGCAGAGUGGCCGUCCAAUCAGGGGCCGUCUUGCAUUGAUGCCAGAAGCUUCUGUGAGUCCACCUAAAAAGCCUUCACGUACUAUUUUCUACGUUUACUACAAACUGAGAAUGGAACUUUCACGGAGCACAAGCAGAAGCUGUUUGUGUGUGUGGCUGCUGUGGCCUGAGGUCUCACACGCGGACGCUCCUCCUGUGGCCCUGACUUUUUAUUGGUGAUACUUUGUUUGAGGGUUGUUUCUGUUUGUUCUGGAUCACAGAUGGACUCAUGUAUUGAGAGUAAAUGGUUUAAUUUGUGGCUUAUUGGUCGUAUAUGGACAUGUUUGUUUAAUGUUUGCUGUGACUGAACCGGGUCAGUACAUUAGUUUAUUUACAUUCGCUGACACCUGAAUGUUAGUGUGUCACCACGUCCUGUUGAUCAGGUUAAAGCUUGAUGGAGGGUGAUGAGUUCACUGCAGAUUUAUCUGUUAAUAUUAUGUGUUUUUUUAUUUUGUGAAAUACCCAAACUUAAACAAAGUUAAUGUCAAUGAAUCUUAAACCAUUAAAAACAAAAAAAUUCAGAAUUCCGA
Betta splendens (Siamese fighting fish) is the source of this 1600-nucleotide long non-coding RNA. RefSeq lists it as uncharacterized. The transcript has 2 exons. Lineage: Eukaryota; Metazoa; Chordata; Actinopteri; Anabantiformes; Osphronemidae. The record is from RefSeq and is a predicted model, not a curated record.